Saimiri boliviensis boliviensis (Bolivian squirrel monkey) is the source of this 123-nucleotide small nucleolar RNA. NCBI's taxonomy places the organism in Eukaryota, Metazoa, Chordata, Mammalia, Primates, Cebidae. The record is from Ensembl.
CUCCAUCUUAAAAAAAAAUACUGUCUAUUGCUAAGGUUUCCCCUACAGAUGCAAGACAAACAUGUCCUUGCACUUUCCGUCUGUCUAAUUGUGGCAGCUGAGAUUGAAUAGAGGAAUACAGGG